Molecule: long non-coding RNA, 1929 nt
Filed under: Equus caballus (horse)
Lineage: Eukaryota; Metazoa; Chordata; Mammalia; Perissodactyla; Equidae
Description: lncRNA (ENSECAG00000029392.3)
Source: RNAcentral
AAACAGGCAGGUGAAAAAAACAUUCAGAGUUACGCUGUGUUUUCUCCAUAAUUUAGGUUUCUCUUUGCACAUGAGAUUCAGUAGACCGAUCCUUAAGGAGCGUGAACUUAUUUUUUACGAUUGAUAAACCCUCUGAAGAUUUAUACCACGCUGUCAUUGUUUCUCUGACCCAUCUGGUGACUGUGAUCAUAUUCAAACAUUAAAUGGGAGGAAAAUAAAUGUGCAUUCUUUCUGGGAUGGCACACACAUAUGUUCUCAGCCUGAAAGUCAGAUUCGGCUGAAGAAGACACACACCAAAAAAUGGAUCUGCUUAAAUGGGAAGAGGCUCAAAUCAGUUCCCAAGCAGCUGCUUUAUUUUGAGCAAAGCUGCAUGUAAUACUAGAUGGGAUUAAAUCUCUUUUUCUGAUGAGGAGCUGGCCAAAUGUUUCCUGGUUUCUAACUUAGGGAUGUCAAAGAGGAACAAAGAGGACCUUCCAAGAUAUCUUCUGCUGAAUAUGUCAUUCAAGAUUCUUCCUAGCCAGACCUUUGCUAAUUGGAGAUAAACGUCUCUAGGUAAAUUGUCUGAGAAUAAAUUACUUCAAUCGACAGAGAACUUGAUUCUUUAUUUAAGCAUGCUGGGGGCUUCAGGGCAAUUUUAUUCAUUUAUUCUUUUGAGUAAGGUGCUGAUAUUGGCCAUUUUUUUUCUUUCUUUCCUUUUUGUUCUUAAAGAUUGGCACCUGAGCUAACAACAGUUGCCAAUCUUCUUUCUUCUUUUUCUUUUUCCUUGCUUUUUCUCCCCAAAUCCCCCCAGUACAUAGUUUAUAUUUUAGUUGUGGGUCCUGCUAGUUGUGAUAUGUGGGAUGCCGCCUCAGCAUGGCCUAAUGAACGGUGCCAUGUCCACGACCAGGAUCCGAACCGGCGAAACCCUGGGCCACUGAAGCGGAGCAUGUGAACUUAACCCCUCGCCCACGGGGCCAGCCCCUGCUAUUUGCCAUUUUUAAUGGUCUCUGAGACUAAGCCAGACUACGAGCCGGGGCAAGUUCUUAAAAACCACGUUUCCUUCCUUAGGUCAAAUUCACUUUCUACUUGUGAUCACGGAUUUUGAUUUGCGACGUUUUCUCGAAUUUCCUGAGGGUAAAAAAUGCUUGUGAGGGAGAAGAUGGUCUCCGUAACUGCGCGUGGGGAGGUGCUGACACAUGUGCUUCUUCAGGAGUCAGAAUGCCAGGUGUUCCUUUCGGCCUCGCCUGUCACUCUCCUCUCUGCUGGUUCUUGUAUUCACACAGCCUGUGCUGCCUUUGGAACUUGAAGGCCUUGCUCCAAGCCAGCCUGCCAGAGUUUGAGAACAGUCACAUGCAAAGUUCUGGAAAUUGACCAUUAAUCAAAUGAGAGAAAAAAUAUGAAAAACAACUUCAUCAUUCUGUCAAAUGUCAAGUCACUGACGUGCAUCUGUGGAGCCCUUGAAAUAAACUAUCUCCUGACAAUAUUUUCAAAACGUGGCCUUUGUGAACCACCUGCAUUAAAAUCAUUUCCAGUGUAUGGGUGGAGGGGGCACACAGGGGACAAAACAGUGGUAUUAAAAAUGCAGAUUCCUUUUCCCCACCCCAGAGGUAACGAGUACACCAGAGUCUUUGAGGCAGGGCCUGGGAAUCUGCAUUUUCCAGGGUGAUUCUUGUGCAUUGUGAUGUCUUAAAAACAGCUGUUUUAAGAAGUAAGUCAUCUUACUCAAGAAAAUUUUAUCUUGGAUUGAAAAUCAAAAGGGUGGUGAGAAAUGAAGGGCACAUUCUAAGACAUUCCUUGGCCACUGCAACAAUACUUUUUUCCCAGCUUUAUUGAAGUAUGAUCGACAUAUAACAUUGUGUAAGGUUACGAUGUACAAUGUGAUGAUUUGUUACGUGUAUAUAUUAUGAAAUGAUUGCCACAAUAGAGUUAGUUAACACCUCAUCAUCUCAC